CGUUACCACCCGUGCUCGAAACCGUGUGAUUAGGGCUCACCACCACUGUUCUUCAGUUCACUGGUGUGGUAAGGUCUUUCAUUUUUUUCUAUCUCUAGCACCUUCCUCGAACAAUCCCCUCGAACAAUCGUCUUCCGGUGUUGUUGUUCCAAUGGCUGAAUCUUCCAACCCAAAACGCAAAAGAACUGCUCUUCAUGGAAGAUAUUUUUACAACUGCAAAACAAUACUCCACUUUCAAGAAGAAGUAUGCAACAGAAAAGAUCAUCGAGCCAAAGUAUCUAGAUAUCAAGUUUUGGGACGCUGAAGGUUUUGAAAUCUGUGAUCUAUUGAGCAGUAACCAUCUGCUCCAAAUGUCCAUUUUAAAAGAGAAGUAUGUGGAGAAUCUGAUUAGAGCAUUCUAUUGUACUAUGUCCUUUGAGAACAACACUCCAAAAGAUGAGAUUAAAGGGAAAUCCAUCAUUGUCCUGCCCACUGAGUGGCCUAAUCUGAUUGGUUGUCCCUAUGUCGGCCGUACAGACCCUGACGUGUACCCUGAGUUUGAUAGAUCUGCCUUUAUUUAACCAAUUGUGGAACCUGGUGUCCAUAUCACGAAAUUCAAAUUCAGUGUUAAUAUCACUAUGGACAGCCGGAUUCUUCACUAUGUUGUCACUCACAUUCUGUAUCCAAGGGUCAUUCGAUCUGGCAUAGACUUCAACUGGCCACUUUACUUCUGCUCCAUGAUGAUGAAAGCCCAAUCUUCCGGUCCUCUUCCGUAUGCCACUCUUAUUUAUCGCAUUUUGUGAUUUCAGCAGAUUCACGACGAGGGUGAGAUCAUGAAAGAAAACUUGCACUCCUUUGGAGAACACCAGCUUGCUCAAAUGCAGAUAAAGAAAGUUGGUGGUGUCUGGGGUCGUCAAACAGAUCCUCCUACAGCAGCUGCACCUCAUCAGGACACUCCUGCAGACGAUCCUUCACAGGAUACUGCCCCAGCUGAUGCUUCUUCUUCUGCGGACCAUUCCAUGGCUUCUCUCUUGACUUACCUUACAUCAUUGAAGACCACCAUACAGUCUGGCUUUGAUUCUUUAGGGGCUGGCAUCUCCACUCUUCAGGCUCGUCAGACUAACAUGGAGUACCGCCUCAAGCGCAUUAAGGACCACCUUGACAUUCCUCCUCUUUCGUCUCUACCUCCACCUGGCUCUGAUGACUAGUCCCUAAUUUUAUUUGUUAUGCUUUUGGACUUACAUUAUGCUUAUAUUUUGCUAUGCUACUUUGGAUAUUUUGCAUCUC
Molecule: RNA transcript, 1266 nt
Organism: Gastrolobium bilobum
Lineage: Eukaryota; Viridiplantae; Streptophyta; Magnoliopsida; Fabales; Fabaceae
Exons: 2
Source: RefSeq, a predicted model, not a curated record